CCUACGGGCGGCUGCAGUGGGGAAUAUUGGACAAUGGGGGGAACCCUGAUCCAGCCAUGCCGCGUGUGUGAAGAAGGCCCUCGGGUUGUAGAGCACUUUCAGUGAGGAAGAACGCCUGGUGGUUAAUACCCAUCAGGAAAGACAUCACUCACAGAAGAAGCACCGGCUAACUCCGUGCCAGCAGCCGCGGUAAUACGGAGGGUGCGAGCGUUAAUCGGAAUUACUGGGCGUAAAGCGCGCGUAGGUGGCUUGAUAAGCCGGUUGUGAAAGCCCCGGGCUCAACCUGGGAACGGCAUCCGGAACUGUCAAGCUAGAGUGCAGGAGAGGAAGGUAGAAUUCCCGGUGUAGCGGUGAAAUGCGUAGAGAUCGGGAGGAAUACCAGUGGCGAAGGCGGCCUUCUGGACUGACACUGACACUGAGGUGCGAAAGCGUGGGUAGCAAACAGGAUUAGAUACCCUAGUAGUC
This 465-nucleotide ribosomal RNA is filed under the name Vreelandella stevensii. RNAcentral describes it as "partial 16S ribosomal RNA". It matches the Rfam family "Bacterial small subunit ribosomal RNA", at positions 338 to 795 of the family's 1533-position model. Lineage: Bacteria; Pseudomonadati; Pseudomonadota; Gammaproteobacteria; Oceanospirillales; Halomonadaceae. The record is from RNAcentral.